UGUGAUUCCCUUAGUAACUGCGAGUGAAGCGGGAUAAGCCCAUCGUUUAAUCUUCCCGGACUAUGGACGGGACGACGUGUAACGGUAUGGAUAGGUUCUCUAUCGACUAUGUCUGGUCAAAGUCCUCCGGAUUGAGGUGCCAGAGAAGGUGACAGCCCUGUGUGGGACUGGACAGCGUCGAGUAGGUGGCCGAUUCCGAGAGUCGGGUUGUUUGGGACUGCAACCUAAAGCAGGUGGUAAACUCCACCCAGGGCUAAAUAUUGACACGAAACCGAUAGCGAACAAGUACUGUGAAGGAAAGUUGAAAAGAACUCUGAAAAGAGAGUUAAAAGUACGUGAAACCGCUAACGGGGAAGCGGAAGGCAGUGUCGAGAUUGAGUGAGUGAGUUGUGCCAAGUUAAUCGAAUGUGAUUGAUUGAUUUGGCGCGACUAGCUUUGCUUGAUGCGUCAGGACUAUCGGUGUGCGACGGCUCAAUCGCAGGCAUGGCUUCCACGACACCAUGUACUUCACUUGUGGAGUGUGUGGCUCGUGGUUGCGGCAGGCGAUCCACCUCGUGUGCUGAUAUUGGAUGUGGUGAGGCGUUGGUGAUCAUUAAUUAAUUAAUAAUUAAUUGAUGUGUCGGUUGGUGUUGAGUGGUGCUCCGCGUAGUCACAGUGUGGCCUACGUAAACGUUAAUUAAUAAUGAUUAAUGUGGGAGAAACCAGGCGGCAGUUCAACAACCAGUGCCAGCUCCUGACGUGAUACCUAACCUUC
Molecule: ribosomal RNA, 754 nt
Filed under: Kudoa gunterae
Lineage: Eukaryota; Metazoa; Cnidaria; Myxozoa; Multivalvulida; Kudoidae
Description: eukaryotic LSU rRNA
Rfam family: Eukaryotic large subunit ribosomal RNA
Source: RNAcentral